RNAcentral lists this ribosomal RNA (257 nucleotides) under uncultured bacterium. RNAcentral's name for it is "partial 16S ribosomal RNA". It matches the Rfam family "Bacterial small subunit ribosomal RNA", at positions 15 to 263 of the family's 1533-position model. The record is from RNAcentral.
GAUCCUGGGCUCAGGAUGAACGCUAGCUACAGGCUUAACACAUGCAAGUCGAGGGGCAUCGGGAAGAAAGCUUGCUUUCUUUGCCGGCGACCGGCGCACGGGUGAGUAACACGUAUCCAACCUGCCCUUUACUCGGGGAUAGCCUUUCGAAAGAAAGAUUAAUACCCGAUGGCAUAAUGAUUCCGCAUGGUUUCAUUAUUAAAGGAUUCCGGUAAAGGAUGGGGAUGCGUUCCAUUAGGUUGUUGGUGAGGUAACGG